GCGUCGAUGGCGGAGUGGUCAAUCGCAUUUGACUGUAAAUCAAACGACUUAUGUCUACGCAGGUUCGAAUCCUGCUCGGCGCA
This 83-nucleotide transfer RNA is filed under the name Minisyncoccota bacterium. RNAcentral describes it as "tRNA-Tyr". It matches the Rfam family "tRNA". From Rfam's summary of the family: Transfer RNA (tRNA) molecules are approximately 80 nucleotides in length. Their secondary structure includes four short double-helical elements and three loops (D, anti-codon, and T loops). Further hydrogen bonds mediate the characteristic L-shaped molecular structure. tRNAs have two regions of fundamental functional importance: the anti-codon, which is responsible for specific mRNA codon recognition, and the 3' end, to which the tRNAs corresponding amino acid is attached (by aminoacyl-tRNA synthetases). tRNAs cope with the degeneracy of the genetic code in two manners: having more than one tRNA (with a specific anti-codon) for a particular amino acid; and 'wobble' base-pairing, i.e. permitting non-standard base-pairing at the 3rd anti-codon position. The record is from RNAcentral. Lineage: Bacteria; Bacillati; Minisyncoccota.